GAUCCUGGCUGAGGAUGAACGCUAGCUACAGGCUUAACACAUGCAAGUCGAGGGGCAGCAUGGUCUUAGCUUGCUAAGGCCGAUGGCGACCGGCGCACGGGUGAGUAACGCGUAUCCAACCUGCCUUACACUCUUGAACAGCCUUCUGAAAGGGAGAUUAAUACAAGAUGUUAUCAUGAGUAAGCAUUUUCGCAUGAUUAAAGGUUUACCGGUGUAAGAUGGGGAUGCGUUCCA
This 234-nucleotide ribosomal RNA is filed under the name uncultured bacterium. Its description in RNAcentral is "partial 16S ribosomal RNA". It matches the Rfam family "Bacterial small subunit ribosomal RNA", at positions 15 to 240 of the family's 1533-position model. The record is from RNAcentral.